Non-coding RNA from Myodes glareolus (Bank vole), 454 nucleotides. Lineage: Eukaryota; Metazoa; Chordata; Mammalia; Rodentia; Cricetidae. The record is from RefSeq and is a predicted model, not a curated record.
GCUGGACGGGCGGGGGCGGUGCAGCCCGGCAGCCGCCGAGGCUUCCGUCUCGUUCCCUCGCUCGCUCGCGCAGCGGCGGCAGCAGAGGUCGCGCACAGAUGCGGGUUAGACUGGCGGGGGGAGGAGGCGGAGGAGGGAAGGAAGCUGCAUGCAUGAGACCCACAGACUCUUGCAAGCUGGAUGCCCUCUGUGGAUGAAAGAUGUAUCAUGGAAUGAACCCGAGCAAUGGAGAUGGAUUUCUAGAGCAGCAGCUGCAGCAACAGCAGCCUCAGUCCCCCCAGAGACUCUUGGCCGUGAUCCUGUGGUUUCAACUGGCGCUGUGCUUUGGCCCAGCACAGCUCACGGGUGUGACGCUGGUUUGUGGAGGAAUACUUACCCUUUUAGGACUCCUGCAUGAAUCCACAGUGUAGCAGAGAAGAACGGCGAGGGACAUCCUAAACAUUGAUGACACAGG